Molecule: long non-coding RNA, 1096 nt
Organism: Culex quinquefasciatus (southern house mosquito)
Lineage: Eukaryota; Metazoa; Arthropoda; Insecta; Diptera; Culicidae
Exons: 3
Source: RefSeq, a predicted model, not a curated record
AGGAAAAGAUGAAGGAAAAGCUGACAAAUCGGACCAGGUUCGUCUCGGUCGUUGCGAUCUGAUCGAGCAGGUCAUGUACCGUCGUAAUCCGUGGGGCAACCCAGCAGAUCAUCGAUUAAGCGGAUCGUUCGCUGCACGACGCCCUUUGCGUGCUGGCCGCGGAAACGUCCGGUAAGGAAUCGAUGGCCAUAGAAGCAUUCGGUCGCGUUCUGCUCUAGCUGCCGACGACAAUCGCCGACAACGAGUAGUACCGUUUGUAACGCUUAGCUAAACGAAGAGUGCACGUGUCGAAUCGAAGGACGCUGCAGCGAUGGCAGGACCUGGACAUCCUGGACAGCCGGAGCUUGAGCUUGCAGAAGUGAUCAUCAGCCAAGUCAUCAGUGCAAUUAACCUUCACCGGCUACAUGGUCUCCAGUUGUGCGUGUAAUUUAGACUUUUAUCCCGACAUGAGCAACCUCGUGCCAGCGAUGGUGACGGCAAAGUCUGCAUAUUUUUCACGGCGCGUACGAGCAGCUUAGUGCCUACAUUAACAGUAAUGCCGUGCGCAGAGUUUCGAGUUUCUCCUGCUCCUCGCGGAUACCAAUAGUUCCGUCGGCGCCAGAUCAAUAACCACCUUCCUCAAGCUGAACAUGGUCACCAAGAAUCGGCGCAUCGCCGUUUCGUACUUCACUCUCCUCUCGCUCAAGUCGAUCCGCAACCUGGUCUACAAGCGUGGCUUCGUCAAGCAACGACAAUGCUUUAUCACGAUCAUGGAUCAGAUCGAGUGCUGGACGCACUCAACAAGCUGGGCAAUAUUCCGAGAAAGUUCUACGGCUCAAGUGCAUUGUUCAGCAAGCUGGACGUUCCCAAGCACUGGUCGCGCGCAUCGAAAUUACUGCUUACGACCGGUUCAACCUGAUGCCCAAGGAAAUGCCCCACCCGCGGCAUGUACAGUUUGUGUGGAAAAGUUUUCUGGCUGCCGUAGAACAUCAACUUCUGUUGACGAUUUCACCCGAUCCCGCCGCUCCUGAUCAACCACGGCCCCGAUCUUGCCCGUUUUCUCAUCAAAUAAAAUCAGUGAUAAAAUUAUAAAAAAGAUUAUUUUGUAGAUGCAGUU